Molecule: ribosomal RNA, 253 nt
Filed under: uncultured bacterium
Lineage: Bacteria
Description: partial 16S ribosomal RNA
Rfam family: Bacterial small subunit ribosomal RNA
Source: RNAcentral
UACAGAGGGCCCGAGCGUUGUUCGGAUUCACUGGGCGUAAAGGGUGCGUAGGUGGCCUGAAAAGUUUGAUGUGAAAGCUCAGGGCUUAACCCUGAAAUGGCAUUGAAUACUGUCGGGCUGGAGGGUUGGAGGGGGGAUUGGAAUUCUUGGUGUAGCAGUGAAAUGCGUAGAUAUCAAGAGGAACACCAGUGGCGAAGGCGAGUCCCUGGACAACACCUGACACUGAGGCACGAAAGCUAGGGGAGCAAACAGG